CCGGCGCACGGGUGAGUAACGCGUAUCCAACCUGCCUUACACUCUUGGACAGCCUUCUGAAAGGGAGAUUAAUACAAGAUGUUAUCAUGAGUAAGCAUUUUCACAUGAUUAAAGGUUUACCGGUGUAAGAUGGGGAUGCGUUCCAUUAGAUAGUAGGCGGGGUAACGGCCCACCUAGUCUUCGAUGGAUAGGGGUUCUGAGAGGAAGGUCCCCCACAUUGGAACUGAGACACGGUCCAA
This 239-nucleotide ribosomal RNA is filed under the name uncultured bacterium. RNAcentral's name for it is "partial 16S ribosomal RNA". It matches the Rfam family "Bacterial small subunit ribosomal RNA", at positions 95 to 334 of the family's 1533-position model. The record is from RNAcentral.